CCUUCUCUUCUUUGGCUUUGGCGAGAUCAGCUAUGGCGUCGUCCCUUGCCUUUUCCACCUGCCCAAGGAGGGUCUCUCGGUCGGCUGACCUUUUCUCUAGUUUUUGCACCUUGACGGCGUCGGCCUUCAUGAGAGCCUCUAGGUCAGCCACCUUGACGCGGUAAGGCACAAUCUUGCUCUCUAGUUCGAUCUUUUCUUGAGCAAGCUGUUGCACUUUGUGGCGGAGAUCAGUGGCCUCUUUGCG
Molecule: long non-coding RNA, 244 nt
Filed under: Phaseolus vulgaris (common bean)
Lineage: Eukaryota; Viridiplantae; Streptophyta; Magnoliopsida; Fabales; Fabaceae
Description: long non-coding RNA (PVUL_LNC001723)
Source: RNAcentral